UACGACUACAUAUCAGGCAUAUCAAUAAGCGGAGGAAAAGAAACUAACAAGGAUUCCCUUAGUAACGGCGAGUGAAGCGGGAAGAGCUCAAAUUUGAAAUCUUCAAGGUUUUACCUUGACGAAUUGUAGUUUAAAGAAGUGUUUUCUGUUGAAGUUUCGGUAAAAGUUCUUUGGAAUAGGACAUCAUAGAGGGUGAGAAUCCCGUAUUUGACCGUUACUUUCCAGCUGUGUGAUACACUUUCAAAGAGUCGGAUUGUUUGGGAAUGCAGUCCAAAAUGGGUGGUAAAUUUCAUCUAAAGCUAAAUACUGGCGAGAGACCGAUAGCGAACAAGUACCGUGAGGGAAAGAUGAAAAGAACUUUGAAAAGAGAGUUAAACAGUACGUGAAAUUGUCAAAAGGGAAGCGUUUGACACCAGUGUUGUUUAGUUGAAAAUCAAUUCAAUAGUUUUUGAUUCUAAGUAGUAUUGACUUCAUCAGCUUGCUGCUUUCUUCUCAGAAAUUAUUGAAUGCACUUUUCAGUUAACAAGUCAACAUCAAUUUCUUUUGUUGUAAAAGGGUAAGAGGAAGGUGGCUUGCGCUUCGGCUCAAGUGUUUAUAGCCUUUUACCCCUGCAAUCGGAGAGAUUGAGGUCUGCAGCGUAGAUCCUUCGGGGUUAGAUACAUUUGUGCUAAGCUAUAGCCUUGUAUAGACAACUUGUUGACUAUGCUCAGUCAUGUAGCUUACUCGCUUAUGCUAUUUUACCUACGCUUAGGAUGUUGAACGCGCACAGAGUCUC
RNAcentral lists this ribosomal RNA (775 nucleotides) under uncultured Neocallimastigales. RNAcentral's name for it is "partial large subunit ribosomal RNA". It matches the Rfam family "Eukaryotic large subunit ribosomal RNA", at positions 24 to 611 of the family's 3401-position model. Lineage: Eukaryota; Fungi; Neocallimastigomycota; Neocallimastigomycetes; Neocallimastigales. The record is from RNAcentral.